RNAcentral lists this ribosomal RNA (425 nucleotides) under uncultured Hymenobacter sp. RNAcentral describes it as "bacterial SSU rRNA". It matches the Rfam family "Bacterial small subunit ribosomal RNA", at positions 354 to 776 of the family's 1533-position model. Lineage: Bacteria; Pseudomonadati; Bacteroidota; Cytophagia; Cytophagales; Hymenobacteraceae. The record is from RNAcentral.
GUAGGGAAUAUUGGGCAAUGGGCGAGAGCCUGACCCAGCCAUGCCGCGUGCAGGACGAAGGCUUUCUGAGUCGUAAACUGCUUUUGACAGGGAAGAAUAAGCCUCACGUGUGAGGUGAUGACGGUACCUGCAGAAUAAGCACCGGCUAACUCCGUGCCAGCAGCCGCGGUAAUACGGAGGGUGCGAGCGUUGUCCGGAUUUAUUGGGUUUAAAGGGUGCGUAGGCGGCCAUUUAAGUCCGGGGUGAAAGCCCGUUGCUUAACAACGGAACUGCCCUGGAUACUGAGUGGCUUGAGUACAGACGAGGUUGGCGGAAUGGACCGAGUAGCGGUGAAAUGCAUAGAUACGGUCCAGAACCCCGAUUGCGAAGGCAGCUGACUAGGCUGUUACUGACGCUGAGGCACGACAGCGUGGGGAGCGAACAGG